This 490-nucleotide ribosomal RNA is filed under the name uncultured bacterium. Its description in RNAcentral is "partial 16S ribosomal RNA". It matches the Rfam family "Bacterial small subunit ribosomal RNA", at positions 30 to 507 of the family's 1533-position model. The record is from RNAcentral.
AUUGAACGCUGGCGGCAGGCCUAACACAUGCAAGUCGAACGGUAACAGGAAGCAGCUUGCUGCUUCGCUGACGAGUGGCGGACGGGUGAGGAAUGUCUGGGACGCCGCCUGAUGGAGGGGGAUAACUACUGGAAACGGUAGCUAAUACAGCAUAAUGUCGCAAGACCAAAGAGGGGGAGCUUCGGGCCGCUUGCCAUUGGGUGCGCCCAGGUGGGGUUCGCUUGUUGGUGGGGUAACGGCUCACCAAGGCGACGAUCCCCAGCUGGUCUGAGAGGAUGACCGGCCACACUGGAACUGAGACACGGUCCAGACUCCUACGGGAGGCAGCAGUGGGGAAUAUUGCGCAAUGGGCGCAAUCCUGAUGCAGCCAUGCCGCGUGUAUGAAGAAGGCCUUCGGGUUGUAAAGUACUUUCAGCGGGGAGGAAGGGAGUAAAGUUAAUACCUUUGCUCAUUGACGUUACCCGCAGAAGAAGCACCGGCUAACUACGUG